GACGAACGCUGGCGGCGUGCUUAACACAUGCAAGUCGAACGGAAAGGCCCUGCUUUUGUGGGGUGCUCGAGUGGCGAACGGGUGAUUAACACGUGAGUAACCUGCCCUUGACUUUGGGAUAACUUCAGGAAACUGGGGCUAAUACCGGAUAGGAGCUCCUGCUGCAUGGUGGGGGUUGGAAAGUUUCGGCGGUUGGGGAUGGACUCGCGGCUUAUCAGCUUGUUGGUGGGGUAGUGGCUUACCAAGGCUUUGACGGGUAGCCGGCCUGAGAGGGUGACCGGCCACAUUGGGAUUGAGAUACGGCCCAGACUCCUACGGGAGGCAGAAGUGGGGAAUAUUGCACAAUGGGCGGAAGCCUGAUGCAGCAACGCCGCGUGCGGGAUGACGGCCUUCGGGUUGUAAACCGCUUUCGCCUGUGACGAAGCGUGAGUGACGGUAAUGGGUAAAGAAGCACCGGCUAACUACGUG
Molecule: ribosomal RNA, 468 nt
Filed under: uncultured bacterium
Lineage: Bacteria
Description: partial 16S ribosomal RNA
Rfam family: Bacterial small subunit ribosomal RNA
Source: RNAcentral